Camellia sinensis is the source of this 248-nucleotide non-coding RNA. The record is from RefSeq and is a predicted model, not a curated record. NCBI's taxonomy places the organism in Eukaryota, Viridiplantae, Streptophyta, Magnoliopsida, Ericales, Theaceae.
AAACCUGAGUUUGGAGUGAUCCAGAACUGAUGAAGUUGGUACAUUUUGGAGAAGCCAUAAAUCGGAGAAAAACUACUAGUUUUUCUGAUGGUGAUGAUCUAGAAGCCAAGUGGUUUGCUUCUAAGGUUCGAAGUAAUGAAAUAGUUUCUCAUGUCAUGCAACCAGUGCCACCUCAAGACAGAGAAAGGGAGAACCUUACUUCCAUUUGCAGCCCAAGUGAACCAGUUGGUACAGGAGCUAGAGUUGAU